GAUUAUUACCAAUCUAUUAUUAUUAAUGAGCAAAAAAACCUAAUUCUCUCCCACCUCUCUCCUCUAUCAAACUAAAAGCCGCCGUCUUGUUCUCGGCCAACGUCCGGUGGCUUUACAGCCCCGGCGUUGUGCCGCGUGUGUGUUUUUAGUUGUUUUUUCUUCUUUCUUUAGUUUCGUUCUCAUCGGCUUUGUAGUUUUCGAGUGGUUUUGGCUUCUCUCGACGAGAUCGGAGGCGGAGUUACUCUGGUUCAAGGUGUAGUUCCGUUAAAGCUUUCGGAGUUUCAGUUGUCUUGCUCGAUCUACCUCUUGUGUUAGGUUCCGUUUCGCCUUGGAUUCGUUUUCUAUUGUUGUUUUGUCGGAGUCUCGCUCUACCAUUGAAGAUCUUGAUCUGGUCCGUCGCGGUGGUCGAUGGUGCUUGUCGGAGUGGGUUCUUAUAUGGGGAUGGUGAUGUUGAUUUCUAGACUGGUAAUUGAUUUCAAUCUCUUCAAGUCAAGCUUGUUUGGUUUAUCCCCGGUUUGCUUGAUGGUGGCCUUAGUUAUUGUUCGUGUCUUAGUUUGUGGGUUAGUUGCUCUGGAUAGCGGUUUCUCCUCCUGAUUGUUUUUGAAUUCUCAGAGUUUUACUUUUGUGGAGUUUUUGUCUGUUCUGUGGUUGGAUCUUGUUUGAGUGAAGUUUCGGUUCUGGCCAUUGUUCCUCUGCCUUGGUGUUGUGUUUUGUAUCGAAUGUCCUGGAAAAUCUCUCGUGUGGUGAGACGGACUCGAUGCCUUUUGCCAUUAGCUCUUUGCUCAUCUUCCUUGGCUGGUUCUUCUGUCUCAUCAAGAUUUGCUUCGUUUGGAGUUCGUGGGUCGCUAUUUUGCCAUCAUAUGCGGUAUCUCUUCCACUUGAGUUUAUCGUCUUCUCGGGGUUGGUUUGGAACGUUUAAUACUACCCAAAGCUCUAUCAAUUCUUUCAGCAGAGAGAGGAGCUAUUCAUGGGUUUUGAUUCGGUUCCUCUCCACAAGACAAAUAAGGCAUUUGUGCGUCGAUCCCUUAGCUUCAGCUUCCCUCUUUUGGGCUUUUGGCUUCGGGGAUAUCACUAUUUUCCGCCGACUCAUCUUAUCGGGGAUAUUAACUCUUUCCGCCGAUCUUUGUAUCUUUCGAAGGUUUAAUAUGAUUAUUCAGACGAAAAAAAAAAA
Arabidopsis lyrata subsp. lyrata is the source of this 1171-nucleotide long non-coding RNA. RefSeq lists it as uncharacterized. The record is from RefSeq and is a predicted model, not a curated record. The transcript has 2 exons. NCBI's taxonomy places the organism in Eukaryota, Viridiplantae, Streptophyta, Magnoliopsida, Brassicales, Brassicaceae.